CUGCUGUAGAGGAUGAAACCUGGAGAAAAUACAGCUAAACUACACUGAGGCUAACUUCAGCACUACUAACGUGGUAGCUAACUGCUGUGAGAGUUUAGUAGUAAGUUCAGUGUUUAGAUGUAGCGCUUGAGAGACGACUAGCAGCGUCGGUAGCUUUGAUGUCCGUAGGAUUUCUUCUGUCUUUGCUGAUUCAAGAGCGAGAAGACCUUGUGGCUUUACUGGGCGCCGCCAUUUUGGGUGUGUGUCCAGCCGCUCUGGUGAAAUUGGUCAGGUUUUUUUUGUGUGUGCGCGUGUUUCUUCUUCCAUUGUCUGGAUUGGAUCUGCGGAUGAAAAUUGAUGGCGAGCCGUCCCUCUUGAAUGAUUGUGGGAGCCAUUCCCUCUUCAGGAUCACUGGACCUGUCCCGCUACUACUGCACUUUGCGCCGAACCAACCGACUUAACCAACCAAUCAGAUCACGGCCCUACCCAUAAUCCUUCCUGUGUGCUACAUAAGCAUUGGAAAGCAUCGUCCGUGUGGAAGGCAGGAUCAUAAAGUACACAAGUCAUGGAAUCCAUUCCGGCUGAUCCAGUCCUGGACUCCGCUCCUCCUCCUCCGAUACGCUCCAGUCCCAGAUCCAUCCAAGGAUGAAGACUACGCUGAUGUUAAAACUGCUGCUGAAACACGACACCAUAAGCCAGAGAGAGAUGAUGAACUAAUGCAACAUUAAAGACCUACAGAAGCACUGUUCUGCUCCAGUAACUGUAAUGCAACACAUCGUGUUGCCCAGUCAUGGAAAUGCCAAUUAUAAAAGGAAUAUUUGGUAUUUGGAACAUUGUUGAAGCGACGGGUCACGUGACAGCCUCACAUGCAAUUGGAGCAGUUUGGAGCGUUUAUCAAAGGAUGCCAUAAUGACUUAAAGACAGCUGAGUAGCAAACAACACCUCCACUUUGGAGACCUGCAAGAGUUCUACAAUCUCAACAAAAUACUUCACUCUAGCUUCACAAGAAAGUAGGCUGGAGCACAGAAUGGACUCAGUACAGCGAUGUCAUCAUUGGAUAAUUGCAGGCCAAUCACAACAACAUGUUUGCAUUCAAGAACAGAUCAUGUAGAGCUCUCCAAGUUCACAUGAUCAUCACCUUAUGGUUACAGCGGUCUGAAAUAAAGUUCAUCGGAAAAGAACAUGUUCUGAGCCGGACAAGGCCAGAAACUGCUGUUGGAACAAAGAUGCCGAAUUUCACAGCGUCUUAGUGACAGACGAGAGAACCUGCAUGCUGAAGAUUUACACAAAGAGGACAAAAGUGAGAAAACAGCCAUCAAAAACUCUGUUCUGAGCCGUCACAGUACAGUGGACAAAAGUGGACAUUGGUACACAGAGAUUGUCUGGACAGAUCCAAAUGGACUGAGCUGGAGGGGGCGGGACAGACACCAGUGACAGGAAACAGCUGGGACACACACACCAGGGUUGCGGGGGGGCUGGAGCCAAUCCCAGCUGACAUCGGGCGCAAGGCGG
This is a long non-coding RNA of Micropterus dolomieu (smallmouth bass), 1491 nucleotides long. RefSeq lists it as uncharacterized. The record is from RefSeq and is a predicted model, not a curated record. The transcript is spliced from 6 exons. NCBI's taxonomy places the organism in Eukaryota, Metazoa, Chordata, Actinopteri, Centrarchiformes, Centrarchidae.